RNAcentral lists this long non-coding RNA (2316 nucleotides) under Triticum aestivum (bread wheat). Its description in RNAcentral is "long non-coding RNA (TAES_LNC011713)". Lineage: Eukaryota; Viridiplantae; Streptophyta; Magnoliopsida; Poales; Poaceae. The record is from RNAcentral.
GCAGCCCCCAUCUCUCCUCCCACGCGACUCCUCGCCGCCGCCCCAUGAUUCCGAUGACUUUCGGCGGCUAUGGCCGGCGCGCAGCCUACCUCCAUCUUCCCCUCUCUCCGCUCCUCCCUCCCCUCCGGCUCGAUUUACCACUAGCGCUCUCCAGCAACCCAUCCCCGUGGCAAGGGUUUCGGCGCCGGCGCGGCUCCGGCCGAUCCUCUUCGUCGCCUGCCACCUGCUGGAUGGUGCUCCUGGAAUAGGGCCUCGCGAGGCCGACCUCCCGCAGGAUGUGCUGAUGGGCGCACCCUGCAUCGGCAUGUUCGGGAUGAGCACGGGACCGACGACCUUGUCCCGCUGGACGAUGGAGGCGGCGAACGCCAGUGCUCCUCGUCCCUGAACCUGUCCACCCAUCCGGCGAUGUACAGCUUGUCGUCAUGCGCGUGUACGUGGUGGGCUUCCUCUCUCUCCCCCCCUCUACCCCAAAUCUGGAUUGCACUUGCAUCUAUUACAUAUAUAAAUAUGAAUAAGCACCACGGUUUGGUAUGCGUCUAGAUCGGGAUGGUACCUGUAGUAAACAGUCGCUCCCCAUCUGUAUGCGUCCAUGAUUCUGCACACGGUAGCUCCUUGGCUUUUAUUUUGAACAUAACUCCUCCCUAAUCUUCCUGUACUCCAUGUCCGUGGUUGCUGUCAUGUACUCGAUGCCUUUAUUGUUUCAAAAUUCCAAUACCUGAAAGUGGCACAUCAUAUUUCUAGUCGUGGUCCUGUUUACACGGCUUUUUCUGAUUUUGUUUCAGUCAAGUUUAUGUGAAAUAUAAUCUCAUUUUAUCUGAUACUUUGGUUUGAAUAUUUACAUUUUAAUUACCAUGUACGUACUAGUGCAGUAUCCAGAUAUUUUGUUGGUGUUAUCUUCCAAAAUAAUAGUAAAUGCAGUCCUCAGAUAGAAGUAAAAGUAGCAUGUCCGCAAACAGAGUUGUACAUGUAAACUUACUACAAGUGUUGUAGAUGAUUGAUUGGAAUCAUAAAGAUCUCAAAUAAACAUACAAAAACAGAUUCUUGACACAAAUUAAUAUAGACUCAUCAAAUAUAUACUUUGUCCGUGGUCAACUUGUGAUGCCAAAUAAUGUUCAGUAUAAUAGCAACCUACAAACAACAGUCUACAGUUCUAUGAUCAUUUCCCUCCUGCAGUUCUAAAUAUCAUGCGAACAUACAUUGCUUUAUGCAAGAGAAAGAAGUAUGUGUACUUUAGAAAGCAAAAUGUUGAAGAAACAUAUAAAAAAGAUGUUGCAUGGCUGAUGUUUAGGUCACUUCUUUAUAGGCUAUAAUCUCUGAAAAUCCACAAAUUAUACGGUUGGUUCAUAACUGCUAUUUAGGUCACUUCUUUAUAGGUUAAUACUUGCUUCAUCCAUUUCUGAAUGUGCAGGAAAGACUGUAGAACAGAGAAGGGGUUCAUCAUGCCGUUUGGGUUGGUAUGGGCUAGUUCCGGCGACGGUGUUGUCGGCCUCAGCCACAAAUGUUGAAGGUAUCCCCCUCCCUUCUUCCCUUUGCUCUUGUCAUGUGUUCAUUUUGUUUUCUUUCCAUAGGAUACUAUCCCAGCUUGUUGGCAAACAAGCUCAUUUCAUUUGCUUUGCACAUAUGUGAGUUAAGUAUUAUGUUACUAACAUCUUAUAAUGUACUUAUGCCAAGAAACUUUCGGGACAUUUAUCCGUACUGGUUGUUUCUGCGAGAGUAGACAAUAUGUAUGUUUAGGACAUGAUGUGAAGCUCACAUCUGAUCAUUUAACUAAGAUAACUUGAUUUGAAUCAUUGAAGAUAGUUUUGUAAGGGCUUCUUACUAAAUGGUUUUCUAGGACAGUACCUACCAAGCCCAGAACCAUGCUAUUUGUUGUGAUAGUUUCCCCUGAUCUAUAAGAUUUUUGUUCCUCCCUGAUGUUUUCCUUCCUAAUCCAUUUCCCUUGAUGCUUCUGAUGUGCAUCCUGUCUGUAGGUAUUGCAUUACAUUGAAUUUGAUGGAGAGAAACUUCUCCGAGAGAACUGAAAGAAUGAGCUGUGAGGUGGAACUAAGGGGCUUUAAGAAACUUUUAUGUGUUGUUGACGUAAACUGGAGUGUGCUAGUUCCUAACUUUGAUCUGUUUUGUAUUUUGUCAACUGAUGUUGUAAAUUAUCAUUUCAUUGAGGAUUUUGUAAACUGAUGUCUUGUAUAUAUCGGUGGAUGCUUGUAUAAAUGCUACAUGAUUUGUGUAUUAUAUGUCAUUUUGGAAAUACUGUCUUGGGUCAAAGUUGACAUUAUGAUCAGUGUAAUGCAUUAUGCUAAAAAAGUGUUGUCUCAAAAU